CUAGGAUUCAGAAAUAUAAUUUGUUACAUUAAUUGUAUGCUUCUACUCGCUCAUCGAGAUGAAAAGGAAAUAAUGAUAAACAAAUCUGCAGUACACAUCAUUUGCUCUUUAUAAAUUUAAGCCACUUGUGCUCUUACCAACUGAUACAUUCAUGUUUAUUUUUUUUCAAAAAAGAUUAAAAGUCUUCUCAUUUCCUGCUCUUUGGAUACCACUACCAGCAUGCAUUCUUGAUUUCUGCAGCCUAAGUCAGCACCAACAGGAAAUUGCCCAAAUCAUACAACUAGUCCCCAAUUGUACAAUGCAGUUCGUUGCCCGCACAAUUUUCUAAACAGCUGUUUGUAAUAAAAAAGAGGUUAGAUUCCUUUCUUGACUUGAUCUUCAAACUUGAAAGUCGUAUGAUUGGCUAAUAAACACUCCUAUGAGGGAUUCAUUUAGGAAUUUGGAGUCAGAAGUGUAAUGAAGAAGAGGAUGCUUCUCACCAGGAGAUGAUGCCAAAAAGGAGAUUUUUCUGGUAUUGGUCUUGCUCCUUUUGUCUUAAUUUCUUCUCAGCAGGUUAUCAUAAGUGUUGUCCACUACCAAUCACGAGGUCUUGAGAUAUGAUUAGACAUAAAUCUCUUCCUUAUGCACAUAAAGGUUAAGGUGAACAAUGUUUAGAUCAUACAAAAUGUGAAUCAAGCAUGGAGUAGAUGCUUCAGAGGAAAGAGCUGUUAAGAAGAAAUUGGGGAUCUUGGUCAAUGAUCACUUGUAGCGGUUCUCUAAAAAGUUCAGAUUAGUCCAUGUUUCAUUCAUUUUUUUAUUUUUUAUUUUUUUUGUGCAGAGCAACCUUACGGUGAAUCUAUUAAAGACCAGGAAGAAAAGAUGGGCAAAAUGCCGUCACAGAAGGACCUUUUUGAGGUUUCAGGACCAACGCACUUGACAUAUGUGAAUUGGUAACUUGC
RNAcentral lists this long non-coding RNA (938 nucleotides) under Oryza brachyantha (malo sina). RNAcentral describes it as "long non-coding RNA (OBRA_LNC000223)". The record is from RNAcentral. Lineage: Eukaryota; Viridiplantae; Streptophyta; Magnoliopsida; Poales; Poaceae.